Molecule: small nuclear RNA, 288 nt
Filed under: Loxodonta africana (African savanna elephant)
Lineage: Eukaryota; Metazoa; Chordata; Mammalia; Proboscidea; Elephantidae
Description: 7SK RNA
Rfam family: 7SK RNA (bases 1-203)
About the family: 7SK was discovered as an abundant small nuclear RNA in the mid-70s but a possible function has only recently been suggested. Two independent studies have found that 7SK RNA binds the CDK9/cyclin T complex (known as elongation factor P-TEFb). P-TEFb activates transcription by phosphorylating the C-terminal domain of RNA polymerase II.
Source: Rfam by way of RNAcentral
GGGAGCACAGCUACUCACAUGCCCUUGACAUCUGCCAUCCCACUGAUUGCUGGGGUCGAUUCUGCUGAUCUGGGUGGCUAGGCAGCUGACCCCUUCCUCCCUCACGGCUCCAUGUGUAUCCCUCCUGAAGCUGUGCACUAGGUCAAAGAGGAUGACCUUCCUGAUAGAGGAAAAAAUAAAGACAAACCCAGGAGAUAUUAGAAAAGAUCAAGUGAAUUAAAAAGCAAGGUUGAAUGUGUAUGUAAACUGCCACUCAAUUAAAGAAAAAUGUUCCUGUGUUAACUACAG